RNAcentral lists this transfer RNA (84 nucleotides) under Solirubrobacteraceae bacterium. RNAcentral describes it as "tRNA-Leu". It matches the Rfam family "tRNA". Rfam says of the family: Transfer RNA (tRNA) molecules are approximately 80 nucleotides in length. Their secondary structure includes four short double-helical elements and three loops (D, anti-codon, and T loops). Further hydrogen bonds mediate the characteristic L-shaped molecular structure. tRNAs have two regions of fundamental functional importance: the anti-codon, which is responsible for specific mRNA codon recognition, and the 3' end, to which the tRNAs corresponding amino acid is attached (by aminoacyl-tRNA synthetases). tRNAs cope with the degeneracy of the genetic code in two manners: having more than one tRNA (with a specific anti-codon) for a particular amino acid; and 'wobble' base-pairing, i.e. permitting non-standard base-pairing at the 3rd anti-codon position. Lineage: Bacteria; Bacillati; Actinomycetota; Thermoleophilia; Solirubrobacterales; Solirubrobacteraceae. The record is from RNAcentral. RNAcentral also lists the same sequence under 2 other names.
GCGGAUGUGGUGAAAUUGGUAUACACGCAGCGUUCAGGUCGCUGUGGGGGCAACCCCGUGGAGGUUCGAGUCCUCUCAUCCGCA